AUGCGGUAUGACGGUACCCUUUCGAAUAAGAGGUUGCUAACUCUGUGCCAGCAGCAGCGGUAAUACAGAGACCUCGAGCGUUAUCCGGAUUUACUGGGCGUAAAGCGUCUGUAGGGGGUUUGUUAAGUUCCAAGUAAAAUCUUAAGGCUCAACUUUAAGUUCGCUUGGAAAACUAAUAAACUGGAGUCCAGCAGAGGUGCAUGGAACUUGCGGUGUAGGAGUGAAAUCCGUUGAUAUCGCAAGGAACACCAAAGGCGAAGGCAUUGCACUGGGCUGGUACUGACCCUGAGAGACGAAAGCGCGGGAGCAAAACGGAUUAGAUACCCGUGUAGUCCACGCCGUAAACGAUGGAUACUAGAUGUUCGGGGAUUCGACCCCCUGGGUGUCACAGCUAACGCGUUAAGUAUCCCGCCUGGGAAGUACGGCCGCAAGGCUAAAACUCAAAGGAAUAGACGGGGAUCCGCACAAGCGGUGGAGCGUCUGGUUUAAUUUGAUAGUAAGCAAUGGACCUCACCAAGGUUUGACAUCCUAUGACAACCCUGGAAACAGGGCUUCCUUCGGGCAUAGUGACAGGUGCUGCAUGGUCGUCGUCAGUUCGUGCCGUGAGGUGUUCCGUUAAGUCGGGAAACGAACGAAACCCUCGUCGCAUGUUACAAAUUUCAUGCGAGACUGCCCGGGUCAACCGGGAGGAAGGCGGGGAUGACGUCAGAUCAGCAUGGCCCUUAUACCUUGGGCUACACAGGCGCUACAAUGGCCGGUACAAAGGGUUGCAAAACCGCGAGGUGAAGCUAAUCCCAUAAAGCCGGUCCAAGUUCGGAUUGGAGGCUGCAACUCGCCUCCAUGAAGUUGGAAUCGCUAGUAAUCGUGGAUCAGCCAUACCACGGUGAAUACGUUCCCGGAUCUUGUACUCACCGCCCGUCACACCAAGAGAGUUGGUAGCUCCUGAAGC
This 949-nucleotide ribosomal RNA is filed under the name uncultured organism. Its description in RNAcentral is "bacterial SSU rRNA". It matches the Rfam family "Bacterial small subunit ribosomal RNA", at positions 462 to 1427 of the family's 1533-position model. The record is from RNAcentral.